RNAcentral lists this ribosomal RNA (305 nucleotides) under uncultured bacterium. Its description in RNAcentral is "bacterial SSU rRNA". It matches the Rfam family "Bacterial small subunit ribosomal RNA", at positions 335 to 656 of the family's 1533-position model. The record is from RNAcentral.
UGGCCUACGGGGGGCAGCAGUAGGGAAUAUUGCUCAAUGGGGGAAACCCUGAAGCAGCAACCCCGCGUGGAGGAUGAAGGUUUUAGGAUUGUAAACUCCUUUUGUUAGAGAAGAUUAUGACGGUAUCUAACGAAUAAGCCCCGGCUAACUACGUGCCAGCAGCCGCGGUAAUACGUAGGGGGCAAGCGUUGUUCGGAAUGACUGGGCGUAAAGGGUGCGUAGGCGGUGUAGCAAGUUAGAAGUGAAAUACCUAGAGCUUAACUCAGGUGCUGCUUCUAAAACUGCUAUACUUGAGUGCAGUAGAG